Non-coding RNA from Paramuricea clavata, 1477 nucleotides. The record is from the annotation of a GenBank genome assembly. NCBI's taxonomy places the organism in Eukaryota, Metazoa, Cnidaria, Anthozoa, Malacalcyonacea, Plexauridae.
UUUCAAUAUUAGACCUUUUCAAAUUCAAACAACACAACACCACAGGGGAAGCAUUGGGCAUUGUUUUAACUUAGUCGAAACGAAACUAAUUGGCAAAUUGCAGUAAAGUCACGCAGUUGAAUAAAGCUUCGAGCCUUCGACAUUCGAAAAAGGCUUUAUAGUCUUGUAUGUCAACAAAUAUCGGUCCAAAUAUGUCUCGUUUACAGUUCCUACUGUUCGUUAUACUUUUGAAUGUUUUAUCAACGUCACAGGAACGAGUGUGUAGGUACAGGGAUUCUAGAGGAUAUUGUCGGAUGCAUUGUUGUGGUAAACCAGAUGCGUUGCUUUGCCUCGACAGCUGUGAUGGUAUACCGUGCUCCAAGUCAGACGACUGCGAUGAUGAUGGUUGCUGUAACAGUGGCAAAUGUACCAACAGUGGAUGCAAGACGCCGUGGUAUGUCAUUGCCACACCAGUUCUAGUGAUUGUCCUGGCAGUUUGCAUUUUUGUUGCGUGUCGAAUAUGGUGCGUGAAAAAUCGUCGAGUUUCACACGCAUGCGGUAUGAUAUAUAAUAUGUAUUCAGUACACCCGUCUUCAAAACUACGCAACAAGGCUGAGAGUAGCUAAAGUUAGCAUUAUCGGGAAUUGCUUUUUCCCAACACUAAAAUAUCACUCACAGAGUUUCGUUUUAUAUAGUUUUUUAUUCGCGGUUACGUAUCACUCCUCUCUCUCUCGCUUCUCUCGCACACUAUCACUCCUUUUUACACUCUCAUACUUAUCUUAUCAAUCAUCCGUAUUUUAUCUUGAUCUCAUUACUGCAUAUUUCUCAAUGCCCUGCUAUAUAUAAAUGUUCAACAAUUAAAAGUUCAAAUUCGAUUACUUAAUAUAUAAUGUCUAUCAACUAAUUAAUGAAAACCUAACAACUUUCCAACACCCUCCCCCUAUUUGCUACACGAAGUGUGCAAAUAUAAUUAAAUGUCUUAACAAAACGAGUUAUAAUAAUGUUAAAUGUAAAAAAAAACCUGUUCUUCAAGUUCAGACAAGUUACCAUAUUCAUGAUACAACAGUUUUUUCACUGAUCCUCUUCAUUUUCUGCGAUGUCUUGCAAUCGCAUCGUUGCAGCUGCAGCAGCAUCUCGCUUCGGUCUGAAUGCUUGAGCAUUUGGGUCAAGAUCUUGUGUGUUCUUCUUGGGCUUGCUCACGUCACACGAGAGUUCUAACGGGUAAAGAUGCUGCACGGCACGUUCGAGGUGACUUUUACCUGCUCGCAAUUUCGCUACACGAACAACUCCGUCACGUCCUGCAAUCAAAUCCUCCACAAUUCCUAAUUUCCACUUGUUUCGGUUGCGUUCAUCAGAUUUUAUGAUCACCACAUCACCUACUUUCAACGUAAAUUUCUUGUUGUUGUGUUUAAGAUUGUGCCUUUCUCGCAAUCCUCUCACGUACUCGUUCGUCCACCUUCUCCACAUCAUAUCUUUGCACUUUUCGAUUCGUUUCGCG